ACUGCUCAGUAACACGUGGACAACCUGCCCUUAGGUUGGGUAUAAACCCGGGAAACUGGGUAUAAUACCCGAUAGGUCUCGAUUGCUGGAAUGCAUCGAGAUUUAAAGCUCCGGCGCCUAAGGAUGGGUCUGCGGCCUAUCAGGUAGUAGUGGGUGUAGCGUACCUACUAGCCUACGACGGGUACGGGUUGUGAGAGCAAGAGCCCGGAGAUGGAUUCUGAGACACGAAUCCAGGCCCUACGGGGUGCAGCAGGCGCGAAAACUUUACAAUGCUGGCAACAGCGAUAAGGGAACCUCGAGUGCCAGGUUACAAAUCUGGCUGUCGAGAUGCCUAAAAAGCAUUUCAUAGCAAGGGCCGGGCAAGACCGGUGCCAGCCGCCGCGGUAACACCGGCGGCUCGAGUGGUAACCGUUAUUAUUGGGUCUAAAGGGUCUGUAGCCGGCCGGAUAAGUCUCUUGAGAAAUCUGGCAGCUUAACUGUCAGGCUUCAGGAGAUACUGUCUGGCUCGAGGCCGGGAGAGGUGAGAGGUACUUCAGGGGUAGGGGUGAAAUCUUGUAAUCCUUGAAGGACCACCAGUGGCGAAGGCGUCUCACCAGAACGGACCUGACGGCAAGGGACGAAAGCUAGGGGCACGAACCGGAUUAGAUACCCGGGUAGUCCUAGCCGUAAACGAUACUCGCUAGGUGUCGGCCACGGUGCGACCGUUGUCGGUGCCGUAGGGAAGCCGUGAAGCGAGCCACCUGGGAAGUACGGCCGCAAGGCUGAAACUUAAAGGAAUUGGCGGGGGAGCAC
RNAcentral lists this ribosomal RNA (792 nucleotides) under uncultured archaeon. RNAcentral's name for it is "bacterial SSU rRNA". It matches the Rfam family "Archaeal small subunit ribosomal RNA", at positions 85 to 879 of the family's 1478-position model. The record is from RNAcentral.